Molecule: ribosomal RNA, 497 nt
Filed under: uncultured bacterium
Lineage: Bacteria
Description: partial 16S ribosomal RNA
Rfam family: Bacterial small subunit ribosomal RNA
Source: RNAcentral
GACGAACGCUGGCGGCGUGCCUAAUACAUGCAAGUCGAACGCUGAAGGAAGGAGCUUGCUCUUUCUGGAAGAGUUGCGAACGGGUGAGUAACGCGUAGGUAACCUGCCUGGUAGCGGGGGAUAACUAUUGGAAACGAUAGCUAAUACCGCAUAAAAUUGAUUAUUGCAUGAUAGUCAAUUAAAAGGUGCAACUGCACCACUACCAGAUGGACCUGCGUUGUAUUAGCUAGUUGGUGGGGUAACGGCUCACCAAGGCGACGAUACAUAGCCGACCUGAGAGGGUGAUCGGCCACACUGGGACUGAGACACGGCCCAGACUCCUACGGGAGGCAGCAGUAGGGAAUCUUCGGCAAUGGACGGAAGUCUGACCGAGCAACGCCGCGGGAGUGAAGAAGGUUUUCGGAUCGUAAAGCUCUGUUGUAAGAGAAGAACGAGUGUGAGAGUGGAAAGUUCACACUGUGACGGUAUCUUACCAGAAAGGGACGGCUAACUACGUG